ACUUAGUGGCGAACGGGUGAGUAACCCGUGAGUAACCUGCCUUCAAGAGGGGGACAACAGUUGGAAACGACUGCUAAUACCGCAUAAUAUAACGAAGCCGCAUGACUUUGUUAUCAAAGGAGCAAUCCGCUUGAAGAUGGACUCGCGUCUGAUUAGAUAGUUGGUGGGGUAACGGCCUACCAAGUCGACGAUCAGUAGCCGGACUGAGAGGUCGAUCGGCCACAUUGGGACUGAGACACGGCCCAGACUCCUACGGGAGGCAGCAGUGGGGGAUAUUGGUCAAUGGGGGAAACCCUGAACCAGCGACGCCGCGUGAGGGAAGAAGGUCGUUAGAUUGUAAACCUCUGUCGUUAGGGAAGAAAAUGACGGUACCUAACAAGGAAGCACCGGCUAACUACGUGCCAGCAGCCGCGGUAAUACGUAGGGUGCAAGCGUUAUCCGGAAUCACUGGGUGUAAAGGGAGUGUAGGCGGGAAAGCAAGUUGAAUGUGAAAUCUAUCGGCUCAACCGGUAGGCUGCGUUCAAAACUGUUUUUCUUGAGUGAAGUAGAGGCAGGCAGAAUUCCUAGUGUAGCGGUGAAAUGCGCAGAUAUUAGGAGGAAUACCGGUGGCGAAGGCGGCCUGCUGGGCUUUUACUGACGCUGAGGCUCGAAAGUGUGGGGAGCAAACAGGAUUAGAUACCCUGGUAGUCCACACUGUAAACGAUGAUUACUAGGUGUGGGGGGACUGGCCCCUUCCGUGCCGGAGUUAACACAAUAAGUAAUCCACCUGGGGAGUACGACCGCAAGGUUGAAACUCAAAGGAAUUGACGGGGCCCCGCACAAGCAGUGGAGCAUGUGGUUUAAUUCGAAGCAACGCGAAGAACCUUACCAGGUCUUGACAUCCGACUAACGAAGUAGAGAUACAUUAGGUGCCCUUCGGGGAAAGUCGAGACAGGUGGUGCAUGGUUGUCGUCAGCUCGUGUCGUGAGAUGUUGGGUUAAGUCCCGCAACGAGCGCAACCCUUACUAUUAGUUGCUACGCAAGAGCACUCUAAUGGGACUGCCGUUGACAAAACGGAGGAAGGUGGGGAUGACGUCAAAUCAUCAUGCCCUCUAUGACCUGGGCCACACACGUGCUACAAUGGCUGUAAACAGAGGGAAGCCACUACGCGAGUAGGAGCAAAUCCCAAAAAGCAGUCUCAGUUCGGAUUGCAGGCUGAAACCCGCCUGUAUGAAGUUGGAAUUGCUAGUAAUCGCAGAUCAGAAUGCUGCGGUGAAUACGUUCCCGGGGCUUGCACACACCGCCCGUCAA
This 1290-nucleotide ribosomal RNA is filed under the name uncultured bacterium. Its description in RNAcentral is "bacterial SSU rRNA". It matches the Rfam family "Bacterial small subunit ribosomal RNA", at positions 90 to 1400 of the family's 1533-position model. The record is from RNAcentral.